UACAGAGGGGGCAAGCGUUAUUCGGAAUUAUUGGGCGUAAAGGGCGCGUAGGCGGCAUGGCAAGUGGAUGGUGAAAUCCCUCGGCUUAACCGAGGAACUGCCGUCCAAACUGCUUCGCUUGAGACCGGGAGAGGUGAGUGGAAUUCCCAGUGUAGCGGUGAAAUGCGUAGAUAUUGGGAGGAACACCAGUGGCGAAGGCGGCUCACUGGACCGGUACUGACGCUGAGGCGCGAAAGCGUGGGGAGCAAACAGG
RNAcentral lists this ribosomal RNA (253 nucleotides) under uncultured bacterium. Its description in RNAcentral is "partial 16S ribosomal RNA". It matches the Rfam family "Bacterial small subunit ribosomal RNA", at positions 524 to 776 of the family's 1533-position model. The record is from RNAcentral.